GGCUGGGAUAGCUCAGUCAGUAGAGCAUGAGACUCUUAAUCUCAGGAUUAUGGGUCUGAGCCCCGCAUUGGACA
Molecule: non-coding RNA, 74 nt
Organism: Podarcis lilfordi (Lilford's wall lizard)
Lineage: Eukaryota; Metazoa; Chordata; Lepidosauria; Squamata; Lacertidae
Source: the annotation of a GenBank genome assembly